This 253-nucleotide ribosomal RNA is filed under the name uncultured bacterium. RNAcentral describes it as "partial 16S ribosomal RNA". It matches the Rfam family "Bacterial small subunit ribosomal RNA", at positions 524 to 776 of the family's 1533-position model. The record is from RNAcentral.
UACGUAGGUGGCAAGCGUUGUCCGGAAUUAUUGGGCGUAAAGCGCGCGCAGGCGGUCCUUUAAGUCUGAUGUGAAAGCCCCCGGCUCAACUGGGGAGGGUCACGCGAUACUGAUCAACUCGAAGGCAGGAGAGGGUAGUGGAAUUCCCGGUGUAGUGGUGAAAUGCGUAGAUAUCGGGAGGAACACCAGUGGCGAAGGCGACUACCUGGCCUGUUCUUGACGCUGAGGCGCGAAAGCUAGGGGAGCAAACGGG